AUGAAUUCAGAAAAUUUCAUCAAAGGAGCCAGUGUUGCUGGGUAUUCUACUGCACCAGGGUUUCUCCUUGGCAGCGUGGACAGAAUUUCUACUGAUGGUCACAAUUCAGAGAAGAGGGAUAAAGAAUCUUCUCUCUCCAGCGGGCAUAUAAAUGAGCCGUUUUCUGCUGUAGAUAAAGCGACACUUGAAGAAGCAGUUAGGACAGAUGUUCAAAACAAGAACGUGCCGUGUGCUCAGCUUCUGCAGUUCCUCCAAAGGAACAUCAUCAUUGCCGCCGCCUCGGUGGCAGGAGUCCUCGUGGUCACAGUGUUGCUGCUGCUGGCGUUGACCACAUGCAUCAGGAGGAAGCAGCUAUCACAUCCUCCGGCGAACAUGACAUAUAAUAUUUUUAUUCUGAGUGGGAAGACUUGGUGGCAAAAGUUUCAAGAAAAGAACCCCAGAAAACACAGCGAUAAACAGAAACAGUUGUUGAAGAGCAAGUCCUGUGUGUAGGCCAGCUGGUGGGGCCAGCCGACCCAGGACGGAAGCGAUGAGGCCAGGCAGUUCUCCACCCAGACACCAUGGACAGGCAUUUGGAUUUCUGGCUGUGGGGUGUGCUCUGCAAAAUGCUUACCUUCUCCUGUCAGUCUCGAAUGGACCAAGACACAAAUGUUUAACCACAGGAUGCCUCUGGUGUGGUAUGGCACUGACGGCUAGUGCGAGAGACUCAGCACAUUUGCCCAAAGACAAACCUGACCAGCUACCGGUUUACUUAUUUAUUAAAGCAUCGAUUCUCUGAUUCAGCCGUUCAGGGAGCAGAUGUUGAUUAACACCGAAUAUGAAGACAAUCUCAAACAGGCAACCAAAGGUAUUGGAAGCAGGCCCGGUCCUCGCGGGUUUCUGAGGAGAGGGCAGACAGCCGCCUGAAACACUGAAGAGCUUAGGGCUCUGAGCUCCCUUUCGA
Molecule: long non-coding RNA, 943 nt
Organism: Ursus maritimus (polar bear)
Lineage: Eukaryota; Metazoa; Chordata; Mammalia; Carnivora; Ursidae
Source: Ensembl